AUGGAAUACUACUCAGUCAAAAAAAAUGAAGUCAUGUCUUUUGAAGUAACAUGGAUGGAACUGGAGGCCGUUAUCUUAAGUGAAAUAACGCAGAAACAGAAAAUCAAACACCACGUUUUCAUUUAUAAGUGGGAGCUAAAUAGUGUAUAAACUAGGACAAAUUGUGAAAUGAUGGACAUUGGAGACUCGGGAGGGUAGGGAAUAGGAGACAGGUGGGUGAUGAAAAAUUACUUAAUGGGUAGGCAUAAUUUUCUAUAUGGUGAGCUUUGAAGUUAGUGACCUGAGCUCACACAGGCCUACAUCUGAGCUGGGUCCAUCCUCAAGGCCCAACGCAGCACAUUCUUUAAGGCUUGUGGAAAUCACAAAUUGGAGGAAAAACAAGUAUUUUUCUCAGUAUAUAUUUAAGGUUUCCUGAAGUGUGGUCACACCUCAGAAAGAGCUUGAGAAAAUGUCCUCAUUUCUGACAUCUCAGCAAACCCCUGACAAUUGCAGUGAAUUCAGCUCUGCAGCAGAAAAAAUCUGGGGUCAUAUGCUCUGCUGAUACCUUUUUCCAAUAGGGCCCCUGUGUGUCCUCGGAUGCUCACUCCUGACCCCAACAGCCCAAGCUAACCCCCCCUUCUAAAUCAACAAAGCUAACCUAUAACAACCCUUGGGACUUAAGCUGUGCACUGGUUUCCAACUUGCUCCAUAACCCCUGACUCCAUGGCCCUCAGUAGAUA
This 719-nucleotide long non-coding RNA is filed under the name Homo sapiens (human). Its description in RNAcentral is "non-protein coding lnc-THBD-3:2". Lineage: Eukaryota; Metazoa; Chordata; Mammalia; Primates; Hominidae. The record is from RNAcentral.